GCCUGGGUGGCGAAACUGGUAGACGCGCCAGACUCAAAAUCUGGUAUGGGAGACCAUGUGUCGGUUCGACUCCGACCCCAGGCACCA
RNAcentral lists this transfer RNA (87 nucleotides) under Pseudomonadales bacterium. Its description in RNAcentral is "tRNA-Leu". It matches the Rfam family "tRNA". Rfam says of the family: Transfer RNA (tRNA) molecules are approximately 80 nucleotides in length. Their secondary structure includes four short double-helical elements and three loops (D, anti-codon, and T loops). Further hydrogen bonds mediate the characteristic L-shaped molecular structure. tRNAs have two regions of fundamental functional importance: the anti-codon, which is responsible for specific mRNA codon recognition, and the 3' end, to which the tRNAs corresponding amino acid is attached (by aminoacyl-tRNA synthetases). tRNAs cope with the degeneracy of the genetic code in two manners: having more than one tRNA (with a specific anti-codon) for a particular amino acid; and 'wobble' base-pairing, i.e. permitting non-standard base-pairing at the 3rd anti-codon position. Lineage: Bacteria; Pseudomonadati; Pseudomonadota; Gammaproteobacteria; Pseudomonadales. The record is from RNAcentral.